Molecule: ribosomal RNA, 96 nt
Filed under: Pteroxygonum giraldii
Lineage: Eukaryota; Viridiplantae; Streptophyta; Magnoliopsida; Caryophyllales; Polygonaceae
Also listed under: 1 other name
Description: partial 5.8S ribosomal RNA
Rfam family: 5.8S ribosomal RNA
About the family: 5.8S ribosomal RNA (5.8S rRNA) is a component of the large subunit of the eukaryotic ribosome.
Source: RNAcentral
UUGGUGUGAAUUGCAGAAUCCCGUGAACCAUCGAGUCUUUGAACGCAAGUUGCGCCCGAAAGCCUUAUGGCCGAGGGCACGUCUGCCUGGGCGUCA